Molecule: ribosomal RNA, 447 nt
Filed under: uncultured bacterium
Lineage: Bacteria
Description: partial 16S ribosomal RNA
Rfam family: Bacterial small subunit ribosomal RNA
Source: RNAcentral
CCAGACUCCUACGGGAGGCAGCAGUGGGGGAUAUUGCACAAUGGGGGAAACCCUGAUGCAGCGACGCCGCGUGGGCGAAGAAGUAUUUCGGUAUGUAAAGCCCUAUCAGCAGGGAAGAAGAAAUGACGGUACCUGAGUAAGAAGCACCGGCUAAAUACGUGCCAGCAGCCGCGGUAAUACGUAUGGUGCAAGCGUUAUCCGGAUUUACUGGGUGUAAAGGGGGCGCAGACGACGAUGCAAGUCUGGGGUGAAAGCCCGGGGCCCAACCCCGGGACUGCUCUGGAAACUGCGUCGCUGGAGUACGGGAGGGGCAGGCGGAAUUCCUGGUGUAGCGGUGAAAUGCGUAGAUAUCAGGAGGAACACCGGCGGCGAAGGCGGCCUGCUGGACCGUGACUGACGUUGAGGCUCGAGAGCGUGGGGAGCAAACAGGAUUAGAUACCCGCGUAC